UCAUUAAACAUUAACAGUGAGCAGCUGGAUCGCCUGUGGAUAGCACAGGCUUGCAGUCCUGUCACUGCUAGUGGGAGCAAGCUUCGUAAGGAGUGGGAAGAAAACACACCCCGGCAUGUACAACAUAAACCGUCCCAGUGACACACAAAUUCACAGGCUGGCUGCAGCCGCCCUGGAGAUGGGGGUGAGAGAAGGAGCAGUCGUCACCCAUUGCUAUAGCACGUGGCCCUGUCCAAGCACACCUCAAUCCCUCAGGUGAAAAAUAGUAUUGUUCUGUUAGCUGUGCCGGGGUAGAUCUGUCUCUCAAUCUCCAGACCAAACCCUCCGAGUUCAUAACACAGCUGAGCGGGGUUUACCGCAAAACCCCCAUCUCUGUCCCCGGUGCCAGACGGAACUGAACUGAACUCAUCCAGAUUUUGCAAAAGGAACAUAACUGUCCAUGGCCAGCGAUGGCAAGACCUGAUCUCUGGGCACAAGAAUGAAUGCAAACAAAGCCAGCUGUACAAAAUGUACAAGGGAUCCUGAUAACAAGGCGAUCCAUGUCAUCUGGGUAUUUCCUUGAGCAUCCACAGCACAACUCCAAGAUGCAUGAUGAAACCUGAUCAAACUGUGCGGAUUUGUUUGACUUUGUGUUGGAGGUUUAGCAGUUUAUUCAAACAUGGGACGUGGGAGACAGUGACGCAUGUGGCCUGAAACAGAGCCAGGAGUGCCAUGUCUCUGCAAACCAAAGGUCCUGCUGCUCAGUAUCUCUGGGGAUAAAUUAUGUUCACAGUCAUAAAUAAAUCUUCUGCUUUAGCAUCUGAUCAUACUUUGUUUUGCACCGGGAUAAAUCCAAAACUGCCUAACCACAUCAGAAUUAAAAAAAAAAGAAAAAGAGGAGAGAGAGAGAAAGGGACAAAUCUUUCUUUUCCUUCUGCAGUCACCAAGGCAGAAUUCAAUGUUUUCUUCUUAUGCCUAGACUGGAGAGAAAGGGAUAUUUAUCUUUUUGGAUUGCAAAUUUAAUUGAUUUUUGCUUGUCUCUUUGGGAGAAAAGGAGUGCAGUGACUUUUUAAAAUGUCAGGAGACACAUACAGAUGGGCAAAUCCCUUUGUCACCAGGCCAUGAGGCAGACCUGCCGAGUGGCCGCCACCCCUCAAAAUCUCUGGCCUGCUGAGGCUGCUCCAGAAUUUUGAGAUGGGGAAGAAAACCAAGAGGUAAAUAUGCAAGUUUUAGAGGUACCUUGCUGCUCCGACCUAUUGUUCAUCAAACAGCAGCAAAGCAGUUUCAGGAUCUCCUUUGCGUUCACCGAUUAAUUGGCUUCAUGCCCAGCAAGCAGGAGUACAAUCCUCAGGCUCCCUGCGCUCUGCAAUAAGAAACUGCAAUGGAUUUAUUCUGAGGGCCAUGUUUAAACGUUAUUCAUGCCGGAAAGAUGUUAUCAAGGACCCUUGCUUCUGUGUCGCACCACAUCUUCUGGUUCCAGGUGCCCGUGGCAGGCAUGCAAAGGUACAGCCUGGCCAUGCAAUGCCCCUGGGGUCCCCAUCCCCAGGGUGGCCGGGGGCUAAGGCACAGGCGUUGCCCCCUCCCACGCGUGCAGGCAGCUGCGUUCCCGCUCCACUCUACAUCCUCCCAGGCCGCAGCUAAUCACUGCCACUUCAUUACCGGCGGCUGGGGCUUUGCUCAGCCCAGAGGUGAGAGCUACACGGCCUUUGGAGACCGAGAGCUUCAUGCCUCCACGUGCCUCUUGUCUCUUGCCGGCCACAGUAAAAUCAGGGACUCCAUGGCUUGAACUUGCAGUGCUGCAGCCUGCAGCGCUAGGAGCCAUCCACCAAAAGGUAAGGAGCUGGCUGCGGGCUCAGCGCUGCUCUCCAGCGAGUGCUUUCCUGUGGCCCCGGACACCUGGACAAGCUGAGAAUUCCUCAAGAUCCAGCUUAUAACUAGGAGUGGAGCCUGUCGAUGGCUGAAUGGCUGUUGCUACCUCCUCUAGGCUGCGAUGGAGACCGAGCGGCAGAGGGUGCAUUCUGGUCACAGGGGAAGGCAGGCUGGCGUUGUAAAUAAAGAUUAUUUUUAUACAGUGUAUAUAAAACCUAUUCAUUUUAUAUAUAAUAAAACUUUAUAUAAACAUGUA
Molecule: non-coding RNA, 2104 nt
Organism: Phalacrocorax carbo (great cormorant)
Lineage: Eukaryota; Metazoa; Chordata; Aves; Suliformes; Phalacrocoracidae
Source: RefSeq, a predicted model, not a curated record